RNAcentral lists this long non-coding RNA (872 nucleotides) under Citrus maxima (pomelo). RNAcentral describes it as "long non-coding RNA (CMAX_LNC000194)". Lineage: Eukaryota; Viridiplantae; Streptophyta; Magnoliopsida; Sapindales; Rutaceae. The record is from RNAcentral.
CCGUUUGGUAUCAUUUUCAAGGGCUUAUUUUCAUUUUCGUUUUUGGAGUUUAAAUGUAAUACCCGUUUGGUACGCUGAAUUCAAAAAUAAACUGUAAAACAAAUAAUUCAGAUUUCCAUUUACAGUUAUAAAAUUGAGAACGUGUUUAACACGUUCUCAGUGAAUCACAAACCAAAUUUUAGAAUAAAUCGCAAAACAAAACCCGAUCAAAAUACACCUUUCUCUCAUCUCUCUCAUCCACAGCUCUCUUUCUCUUCGUGACAGUUCUCCAACCAAAAUCAGCUACUGUUACUGCGUCUCAGCUCCAUCUCGACUAGUGGUGGUGGUGGUGGUGCGUCUCUGCUCUGCUUCGGCCAUGGUGGAUCGACUGAUACUGCUGUAUCUCUGUUGAGGAUUGAUUGGUGCUGCUGCUGUUGCGUCUCGGCUCCGUCCCGACUGGUGGUGGUGCGGCCGUUGCUGCUGCAUCUCUGCUCUGCUUUAGGGAGGGCUUAAUUUCAUUUUCUGCUUAACCGAUCGAAUCUAUUUUUCGUUUUGAAUGAUUGCUCGAAGCAUGCCUUCGAUUUUGCAUUUAAUUGGGCAAACAAAACAAAAAAAAAAAUUUAUGGAUUCAUUCGUCAUUUUCACAUGGAUUGAGAUUGACCAUUACAUUUCUUAUUAUUUGUUGGCAGUACAUUAUAAUGAUGACACAUAUAUAAAUCAUAUAAUUAACAUUAUAUUAAUAAUAAAUUUAUACCUAAUAAUAAUAUUGAUACCAAUUAACAUUUUAUAUCAAUUUUUAAAAAUUUUAAAAUUAACAAUUUUUGGGCAAACUAACAAUUGUUAAAAAAAGAACAAAAAGUUACUGAUUAGAUAGAGUUGCUUAAUGCGCAUGG